GUUUCCGUAGGUGAACCUGCGGAAGGAUCAUUAACGAAUUGUACUGGGAGUUUGAUGCUGGCAAAGGAGGAAAUGCCUUUGCAUGUGCUUGCUUCUAACAAUUUUUAUCCAAACACCUGUGCACCCUUUGAAGGGAGAUUGAUCUUUUAUGAAAUUUCUCUCUUCGUUUUUCUUAUCCACGCUAGUUUUAAUAUGGGGAUGUGCUUGUGCCCUUAAUAAGGGCAUUGAACAAAUACAACUUUUAACAACGGAUCUCUUGGCUCUUGCAUCGAUGAAGAACGCAGCGAAAUGCGAUAAGUAAUGUGAAUUGCAGAAUUCAGUGAAUCAUCGAAUCUUUGAACGCACCUUGCGCUCCCUGGUAUUCCGGGGAGCACACCUGUUCGAGUGUCUUGAAAUUGUCAAGCCAAGGUACUUUUGUUUAGGAAAGUGGCUUCUGGUUUGGUUAUUGGGCUCUGCCGUGUCCUGCAAUUGGAGGGAUGGCUGGCCUUAAAAGCAUUAGCUGACUUUGAUAUAACAUUGGACAAUCUACUCGGCGUAUUAAUGAUACACAGACCGCAGAGGAUGUUGUUAUGUUGGGUUGCUUUCUAAUCUGGUAUUAGUGAUUCUC
Molecule: ribosomal RNA, 607 nt
Filed under: Clavulinaceae sp. YM358
Lineage: Eukaryota; Fungi; Basidiomycota; Agaricomycetes; Cantharellales; Hydnaceae
Description: eukaryotic LSU rRNA
Rfam family: 5.8S ribosomal RNA (bases 237-390)
Source: RNAcentral